This 169-nucleotide small RNA is filed under the name Staphylococcus saprophyticus. RNAcentral describes it as "Listeria sRNA rli28". It matches the Rfam family "Listeria sRNA rli28", at positions 26 to 181 of the family's 186-position model. Lineage: Bacteria; Bacillati; Bacillota; Bacilli; Caryophanales; Staphylococcaceae. The record is from RNAcentral.
UUAAGGUGAGUAAGUUGGAUAGAUGGUGGCUAAUAUCAGUAUAAAGUGAGGUGGUGCUUAUGAAAGUACCGACAAAAUCUUUAGAAAGGAGACGCCUUGUUUGGUUUCAAUUGUAGAAGUGCCGUACUUAAUGUUAGGUUUCGGUACAUUCAUCGUUACCUUGUUAGGU